RNAcentral lists this ribosomal RNA (1509 nucleotides) under Micropeltis asiatica. RNAcentral describes it as "partial small subunit ribosomal RNA". It matches the Rfam family "Eukaryotic small subunit ribosomal RNA", at positions 71 to 1103 of the family's 1831-position model. Lineage: Eukaryota; Fungi; Ascomycota; Lecanoromycetes; Micropeltidales; Micropeltidaceae. The record is from RNAcentral.
GCAGUAUACAGUGAAACUGCGAACGGCUCAGUAAAUCUGCAAAAAUCUAUUUGAUAGUACCUUCUACUUGGAUAUCCGUGGUAAUUCUAGAGCUAAUACAUGCUAAAAAUCCCGACUCACGAAGGGAUGUAUUUAUUAGAUAAAAAACCAAUGCCCUUCGGGGCUCUUUGGUGAUUCAUAAUAACUAAACGAAUCGCAUGGCCUUGCGCCGGCGAUGGUUCAUUCGAUCUUCAGCCCUAUCAACUUUCGAUGGUAGGAUAGAGGCCUACCAUGGUGUCGACGGGUAACGGGGAAUUAGGGUUCUAUUCCGGAGAGGGAGCCUGAGAAACGUGAGUCAACCAAUCCUCCAACUAAAUUUUCUUUUACAGUUGCUAACUGAGAUGCAGGGCUACCACAUCCAAGGAAGGCAGCAGGCGCGCAAAUUACCCAAUCCCAAUUCGGGGAGGUAGUGACAAUACAUACUGAUGCGGUGCUCUUUUGGGCAUCGCAAUUGGAAUGAGAACAAUCUAAAUCCCUUAUCGAGGAACAAUUGGAGGGCAAGUCUGGUGGACAGCUGGCGCCAGACAGCCGGGGCACUCAGCUGAGUCGCUCUGACAGUGGGUGUGACAGCCCGCGAGGAAUCCGGUACCGUGGACGCUCCAGCCGGAGCCGACACGGUGGCAGUCUUGACUGUCGAAACGCACGCCAGGGUUCCGGUAGACUCCCAGCGGGUCUACUUGAGGUACGUGCUAAACUUCCCCCCCCAGGGCGAAGAGUUAGUUGGCCAGCAGCCGCGGUAAUUCCAGCUCCAAUAGCGUAUAUUAAAGUUGUUGCAGUUAAAAAGCUCGUAGUUGAACUUUGGGUCUAGCCGUCCGGUCCGCCUCACCGCGAGUACUGGCUCGGCUGGAUCUUUCCUUCUGGGGAUCCGCAUGCUCUUUAUUGAGCGUGUUGGGGAACCAGGACUUUUACUUUGAAAAAAUUAGAGUGUUCAAAGCAGGCAUAUGCUCGAAUAUCUUAGCAUGGAAUAAUAGAAUAGGACGUGCGGUUCUAUUUUGUUGGUUUCUAGGACCGCCGUAAUGAUUAAUAGGGAUAGUCGGGGGCAUCAGUAUUCAAUUGUCAGAGGUGAAAUUCUUGGAUUUAUUGAAGACUAACUACUGCGAAAGCAUUUGCCAAGGAUGUUUUCAUUAAUCAGUGAACGAAAGUUAGGGGAUCGAAGACGAUUUUAGCUGGUCGUCUACAGCUAAGCUAGUCUGCUCUUCGCUGAGCGGGCGACACCAUUCAACUGGGGAGCAGCUCCGGCUAGCCGGGGCGAAUCCACAGCUCGGAUCCUUGGGGAUCCGGUCUACAGACUGAACGAUGGUGGGUCACGGCGGGCGAGUCGCCUGCUGGAUUUUUGAUACAGCCGAGCCUGCCGCUGUAACGCGGCAGUUUAGCGCAGAUACCGUCGUAGUCUUAACCAUAAACUAUGCCGACUAGGGAUCGGACGGUGGUUCUAUUUUGCCCCGUUCGGCACCUUACGAGAAAUCAAAG